RNAcentral lists this non-coding RNA (29 nucleotides) under Mus musculus (house mouse). Lineage: Eukaryota; Metazoa; Chordata; Mammalia; Rodentia; Muridae. The record is from RNAcentral.
UCNGAGAUCCACGUGCAUCUGCCUCCCAA